AGAAUCAACGCUGGCGGCGUGCCUAACACAUGCAAGUCGCACGAGAAAGGGGAGCAAUCCCUGAGUAAAGUGGUGCACGGGUGAGUAACACGUGACUAACCUACCUCCGAGUGGGGGAUAACUGAGGGAACCUUAGCUAAUACCGCAUAAUACCCACGGGUCAAAGGAGCAAUUCGCUCGAGGAGGGGUCGCGGCCGAUUAGUUAGUUGGCGGGGUAAUGGCCCACCAAGACGAUGAUCGGUA
This 243-nucleotide ribosomal RNA is filed under the name uncultured bacterium. Its description in RNAcentral is "partial small subunit ribosomal RNA". It matches the Rfam family "Bacterial small subunit ribosomal RNA", at positions 26 to 285 of the family's 1533-position model. The record is from RNAcentral.